This 688-nucleotide ribosomal RNA is filed under the name Pantoea sp. RNAcentral's name for it is "bacterial SSU rRNA". It matches the Rfam family "Bacterial small subunit ribosomal RNA", at positions 56 to 731 of the family's 1533-position model. The record is from RNAcentral. Lineage: Bacteria; Pseudomonadati; Pseudomonadota; Gammaproteobacteria; Enterobacterales; Erwiniaceae.
UGCAAGUCGUGACGGUGUCACAGGAGGAGCUUGCUCCUCGGGUGACGAGUGGCGGACGGGUGAGUAAUGUCUGGGAAACUGCCCGAUGGAGGGGGAUAACUACUGGAAACGGUAGCUAAUACCGCAUAACGUCGCAAGACCAAAGUGGGGGACCUCCGGGCCUCACACCAUCGGAUGUGCCCAGAUGGGAUUAGCUAGUAGGCGGGGUAACGGCCCACCUAGGCGACGAUCCCUAGCUGGUCUGAGAGGAUGACCAGCCACACUGGAACUGAGACACGGUCCAGACUCCUACGGGAGGCAGCAGUGGGGAAUAUUGCACAAUGGGCGCAAGCCUGAUGCAGCCAUGCCGCGUGUAUGAAGAAGGCCUUCGGGUUGUAAAGUACUUUCAGCGGGGAGGAAGGUGGUGAGGUUAAUAACCUCAGCAAUUGACGUUACCCGCAGAAGAAGCACCGGCUAACUCCGUGCCAGCAGCCGCGGUAAUACGGAGGGUGCAAGCGUUAAUCGGAAUUACUGGGCGUAAAGCGCACGCAGGCGGUCUGUUAAGUCAGAUGUGAAAUCCCCUGGCUUAACCUGGGAACUGCAUUUGAAGCUGGCAGGCUUGAGUCUCGUAUAGGGGGGUAGAAUUCCAGGUGUAGCGGUGAAAUGCGUAUAGAUCUGGAGGAGUACAGGUGGCGAAUGCGGCCCCCUG